Long non-coding RNA from Canis lupus familiaris (dog), 626 nucleotides. RefSeq lists it as uncharacterized. NCBI's taxonomy places the organism in Eukaryota, Metazoa, Chordata, Mammalia, Carnivora, Canidae. The record is from RefSeq and is a predicted model, not a curated record. The transcript is spliced from 4 exons.
CCUAGAGUGGCUUUAACUUACCCAGAGCAGCAAACACCUCACCUGGGAGCACAGGGCUGCUGCUCCUAAUUUGGUUUUCUUUAACUACUAUUUGAACGUCUCAUAAUUUUUGAACUUUGAAUCUUACUUGAAGAUUCCACUGUUAAAGAGAAGAACACAGCGCCUUUGGAAGAUUCGAAUUUUGGUAAUAAGGAGACUGUAAACUGUGAAAGUCAUUUAGACUAGGCAAGACCAUAGGCAAGAUUCAGCUAUUCUGAAUUAAACAGUGUUUCAGCUUAUACCAUCUGCUUUCAAUGCCACAUAAUUCACCAAAGGAUUAAAGACAAUGGCAGGUAAUAGCUUCUUAGGCAUAAAAAUAACAUCACCUGGAAUCAAUUAUAGGUAUGCUGACUGAUGAAGUGAUCUCCUGGAAUUAGUAAGUGACAUAAACACCAAGCUUCCCUCACUAGGUCCAACCUCAAGUCCCGAACUAAUAGACCCUCCACUGCUAACUCAUUCUUCUGGAUCAUGAAAUGCCUCCCAUUGCCAUACUUCUGACUGAAGAUGAAGGUGGGGGAAAGGAUGAGACAUCCUGUUUUGAGGGAGGAAAAAAGCCUUGCCAUCACAAAACUCUAAAAACUAAAUAA